GACGAACGCUGGCGGCGUGCUUAACACAUGCAAGUCGAACGGAAAGGCCCUGCUUUUGUGGGGUGCUCGAGUGGCGAACGGGUGAGUAACACGUGAGUAACCUGCCCUUGACUUUGGGAUAACUUCAGGAAACUGGGGCUAAUACCGGAUAGGAGCUCCUGCUGCAUGGUGGGGGGUGGAAAGUUUCGGCGGUUGGGGGUGGACUCGCGGCUUAUCAGCUUGUUGGUGGGGUAGUGGCUUACCAAGGCUUUGGCGGGUAGCCGGCCUGAGAGGGUGACCGGCCACAUUGGGACUGGGAUCCGGCCCAGACUCCUACGGGAGGCAGCAGUGGGGAAUAUUGCACAAUGGGCGGAAGCCUGAUGCAGCAACGCCGCGUGCGGGAUGACGGCCUUCGGGUUGUAAACCGCUUUCGCCUGUGACGAAGCGUGAGUGACGGUAAUGGGUAAAGAAGCACCGGCUAACUACGUG
This 468-nucleotide ribosomal RNA is filed under the name uncultured bacterium. Its description in RNAcentral is "partial 16S ribosomal RNA". It matches the Rfam family "Bacterial small subunit ribosomal RNA", at positions 28 to 507 of the family's 1533-position model. The record is from RNAcentral.